AUUGAACGCUAGCGGCAUGCCUUACACAUGCAAGUCGAACGGCAGCACGGGAGCAAUCCUGGUGGCGAGUGGCGAACGGGUGAGUAAAGUAUCGGAACGUGCCCAGUCGUGGGGGAUAACGUAGCGAAAGUUACGCUAAUACCGCAUACGAUCUAUGGAUGAAAGCGGGGGAUCGCAAGACCUCGCGCGAUUGGAGCGGCCGAUAUCAGAUUAGGUAGUUGGUGGGGUAAAGGCUCACCAAGCCGACGAUCUGUAGCUGGUCUGAGAGGACGACCAGCCACACUGGGAGUGAGACACGGCCCAGACUCCUGCGGGAGGCAGCAGUGGGGAAGUUUGGACAAUGGGCGAAAGCCUGAUCCAGCCAUGCCGCGUGCAGGAUGAAGGCCUUCGGGUUGUAAACUGCUUUUGUACGGAACGAAAAGGUUUGGGCUAAUAAGCUGAGCUCAUGACGGUACCGUAAGAAUAAGCACCGGCUAACUACGUGCCAGCCGCCGCCGUAA
Molecule: ribosomal RNA, 500 nt
Filed under: uncultured bacterium
Lineage: Bacteria
Description: partial 16S ribosomal RNA
Rfam family: Bacterial small subunit ribosomal RNA
Source: RNAcentral